This 225-nucleotide unclassified non-coding RNA is filed under the name Hevea brasiliensis (rubber tree). The record is from RNAcentral. Lineage: Eukaryota; Viridiplantae; Streptophyta; Magnoliopsida; Malpighiales; Euphorbiaceae.
UAAUGGUAAAGUUGUGGUAAAGGAGCAAGCCAAGGCUGGAAAGGCUACCUCUGGGAAAGUUUCUGAUAAUGCAGAACCUUCUGCCAAGACCAAAUCUAAGGCAGAAGCAAAGUCUGAGAAACCAAAACCAGAAGAUUCUGAUGAUGAUGAUUCUGAGGAUGAUGAUGAGUCUGAUGACGACUCUGAUAGCGAAGAUGAGGCCAUGCCUGAUGCUGGGGUUGAGAG